UAUAAGUAAAAGCAAGUUUCCUGUGGCUGAGAAAAUAGGGUUGGGUAGAGUUUGUGUUCAGCUGCAGGCUCCAGUUUAGGCUGAGUUUUAAGCCUAUGAAUAAUCUCCCCAGAGCUGCUGAGAUCACUCGUACGCCUAAUGCGUGUGUCUCAGUUUGACCCCAUUUGACUCCAGAGUGAAGGAAAUGAUGCCUCGGUUGACCAUAGCUGUUUGUUUCUGAUUUGUCUGCAUUUACAUACCCUCUGUGUCUGCUUUCCAUUAACAUGUGAGACUUUAGCGGGGGAUUUUUCACAAACAGUUACCACUAGCCAAACUAAACUCCACUGGGCACAGUUCGACGCCAUCGAGUGCUUUUGAAAAACUGCCCGUGUUUCUCCUUUCAGACAAAUUCCCCGCAGAGCUUAUGUGCUGACAACCACUCGUGGACGAUACUCAUGGUUGUAUCUUCUCCAUCGGUAUGUUACUGCAAAGAAAAAGUAAAAACCGCUUUGGUGCUAUCUUAAGAGGCUCAUGAAGACAGUGUUCAUUGGUUGACCCUUGAGAUACUGCUUAGCUACACUGGGGCAAAGUGCAAAUAAGCUUGAGAGGCUCAGGCCAUAUGGAGUCUGUUGUCUUCUUUGCUGAAAGUCCGACAGAUGGGAUCUUUUGAUGGUCCAGAAGUUCUACUCAAGGGAUUGGCUGUCAAGCCAGAGAUUUUUUUCUGCUCAGUAACAAAGUAAUCCAGAUCUUGGUGAAACAGUUCACAUAAAACUUAUCCUUAUCUUCACAAUUCAUAAGCCUAAUUCCUAAACUGCAGGUGCAAGCUUCGCUGUGGGUACCUAUUUCUUUCCCAACAGAGGAGGAUUUACAGUGGGAGAAUUUAACUGGAGGAAAUGAGCCCUGGUAUCAGCUACCGAUACCUGGAAGCAGAUUUGUACCUUUUUGGCCUGGCUUUGUAUUUGAGCACCCUUUGUGCUUGGGAUUGGAAAUCGGAGAUGUGAGAUGCUAGAAGAAGGAGACUACCCUGUGCUUCUGUCCUGCGGGCACAGUGAGGAUGCCUGGGGGGGGAUAUGGCAGCAGCAGCAUGAAUACUGCUGUGCAGGGAAGAUAAAUUAGCCAGUAGCUCUGUCUCCAUCCCUGGCAGGACUUUUUUAGUGAGCCAGCUGGCUGAGCUGCCUGUGGACCAGAUACAAGCAGUGCUUCUCAGCCCUUUGAGAUUCAGAGGUGUCUGCAGGCUUUACUCACACAGAGCAUACCUACGCAUAUAAGUAACCCAUCGGUUCCUGUCCAACCCACAGUGCCAGAUAAACAGCAUUUUGCUAAACAGCAUUGUCUGUGAGGGAGUAGGUGAUCUGUGGGGAAUCUGACGUAAGCUGUGACUAUAAUUAUUGUCCUUUGAAUCUGUUUCUCUGCAGUGCUUAUUUAAAGCCACAGUGGAAUCAGAGAAGGAGAUGUGAGGUUUUGCUGCCUCUCAGGUAUCUUCCCAUGUCUGCCUGGCCCAUGCUGCCCUUUCAAGAAAUGCCCUAAGCGGGUAAAUCCACAGCUAUUUGGACUGUGAGAUUAAUGGAGGGGUUACACCUCAUUCACUCUUUGGGGUAAAUCUGUGUUAGCUUGGGGGCAGGAACCCUAAAGUUUGUGCAAGAGGCUUUGCAAUCAACUCUAAUAGGCUCAGCACUGUUUCUUCUUCAAAAAGGUCCAAAACCAUUUUCAAAUAGUAAAAAAACCCUACCGUUCCUAUCUGUUGUAUGCAUGUGCGUGUUAUGCUGUACACCCAAUCGUUUAUGCAAACAUUAUUUUUACUUACAGUGGUUACUUACUGUGGACACUGGGAAAGCCAGGACACUGAAAAGAAGGUCUCU
Molecule: long non-coding RNA, 1838 nt
Organism: Strigops habroptila (Kakapo)
Lineage: Eukaryota; Metazoa; Chordata; Aves; Psittaciformes; Psittacidae
Exons: 3
Source: RefSeq, a predicted model, not a curated record